This 253-nucleotide ribosomal RNA is filed under the name uncultured bacterium. RNAcentral's name for it is "partial 16S ribosomal RNA". It matches the Rfam family "Bacterial small subunit ribosomal RNA", at positions 524 to 776 of the family's 1533-position model. The record is from RNAcentral.
UACAGAGGGUGCAAGCGUUAAUCGGAAUUACUGGGCGUAAAGCGUGCGUAGACGGUUACAUAAGUCGGGUGUGAAAGCCCCGGGCUCAACCUGGGAAUUGCAUUCGAGACUGCGUAGCUAGGGUGCGGAAGAGGGAAGCGGAAUUUCCGGUGUAGCGGUGAAAUGCGCAGAUAUCAGGAGGAACACCGGUGGCGAAGGCGGAUCUCUGGGCCUGUUCUGACGCUGAGGCGCGAAAGCUAGGGGAGCGAACGGG